Molecule: ribosomal RNA, 261 nt
Filed under: uncultured archaeon
Lineage: Archaea
Description: partial 16S ribosomal RNA
Rfam family: Archaeal small subunit ribosomal RNA
Source: RNAcentral
UAGCCGUAAACGAUACUCGCUAGGUGUCGGCCACGGUGCGACCGUUGUCGGUGCCGUAGGGAAGCCGUGAAGCGAGCCACCUGGGAAGUACGGCCGCAAGGCUGAAACUUAAAGGAAUUGGCGGGGGAGCACCACAACGGGUGGAGCUUGCGGUUUAAUUGGAUUCAACGCCGGAAAUCUUACCGGGACCGACAGCAAUAUGAAGGCCAGGCUGAAGACUUUGCCGGAUUAGCUGAGAGGUGGUGCAUGGCGUAGACGUCU